Long non-coding RNA from Oncorhynchus tshawytscha (Chinook salmon), 1637 nucleotides. The record is from Ensembl. Lineage: Eukaryota; Metazoa; Chordata; Actinopteri; Salmoniformes; Salmonidae.
AGGGGAUGAGGGAUGAGGAACAUGAAGCCAGGGGGAUGAGGAACAUGAAGCCAGGGGGAUGAGGAACAUGAAGCCAGGGGGAUGAGGAACAUGAAGCCAGGGGGGAUGAGGAACAUGAAGCCAGGGGGGGAUGAGGAACAUGAAGCCAGGGGGAUGAGGAACAUGAAGCCAGGGGGAUGAGGAACAUGAAGGAUAAACAUGUCUGGCAGCAUGACCUUAUGAAGUACUUAUUUGCCAGAUGCACAUUAACAGAACGAUCAGUGAGAGCAGUAAUGGAACCCGAAUGGAAAACAACUUAAAUCCAAAAUGUCCUAGUUUAUCUUUCAGCCACCCAAACGGGAAGCAGGAGUCUUCUCCCGGGGACGGUGUAGGUAUCAGCCAACUGUGUUAUUUCUUUUAAACUCUCGGUCAUAUUAUCAGAGGAGUCAGGGAGAAGCAUAGCACAUUCAGUGGGGGGAAAUAGAAUUUAGGGCCCUGCAGUAUCCCCCCCUCCUUAUCCAGGAUGCAGUCUAAUCCCGGGCUAUACCUGGCUGUAACAGCAUUAAGACUGAUCAUAGUCAAAUAGUCAAAUUCAUAUUGGCCUGUAUGGAGUAGGUGAUGUUGUUAAUUCAAUCACUUACAACAAUUGAUCAUAACAACUGACUCUGAGGGUUUUUCAAAACGACUACAUUCGAACCACUAAGCGUGACUUGUCUACUCAGGUUUUGGACCAUGUUUACCCUUUUGAUUACUGGUUUUCAAUUGGUUCCCCUGCAUCUCUAUUCCUCCGAGCAGAGACUGCUGGUGCAGAAUAAGAAGCACCAAAAACACGUAUCUUAAUGGUUUACCCCAAGUUCUGUUUUUAACAAUGUGAGCGUAAUGUUCAUGUGUAACAACAUCAGGGUCUGGUUGUGCACUCUUAUCUGUUAGGAUGGUUGUGACAGAUUCUAGCAGUGUGAGGGGAGACAAUGGGGGCUGUGGCGUCUCCUGGCAGUGUGAGGGGAGACAAUGGGGGCUGUGACGUCUCCUGGCAGUGUGAGGGGAGACAAUGGGGGCUGUGGCGUCUCCUGGCAGUGUGAGGGGAGACAAUGGGGGCUGUGGCGUCUCCUGGCAGUGUGAGGGGAGACAAUGGGGGCUGUGGCGUUUCCUGGCAGUGUGAGGGGAGACAAUGGGGGCUGUGAGAGAUGGGCUGCUGUGAGAGAUGGGCUGUGACGACUCCUGGCAGUGUGAGGGGAGACAAUGGGGGCUGUGGCGUCUCCUGGCAGUGUGAGGGGAGACAAUGGGGGCUGUGGCGUCUCCUGGCAGUGUGAGGGGAGACAAUGGGGGCUGAGACGUCUCCUGGCAGUGUGAGGGGAGACAAUGGGGGCUGUGGCGUCUCCUGGCAGUGUGAGGGGAGACAAUGGGGGCUGUGGCGUCUCCUGGCAGUGUGAGGGGAGACAAUGGGGGCUGUGGCGUCUCCUGGCAGUGUGAGGGGAGACAAUGGGGGCUGUGGCGUCUCCUGGCAGUGUGAGGGGAGACAAUGGGGGCUGUGAGAGAUGGGCUGUGAGAGAUGGGCUGUGAGAGAUGGGCUGUGAGAGAUUCUAGCAGUGUGAGGGGAGACAAUGGGGGCUGUGAGAGAUUCUAGCAGUGUGAGGGGAGACAAUGGGGGCUGUGAGAGA